AUGUACCCCCUUACACUCCGGUUCCUCCGCGCCGUCCGCAACCACCUGACGGCUGCUCGCUACGUUUUGUUAGCC
This 75-nucleotide small RNA is filed under the name Xanthomonas campestris. Its description in RNAcentral is "sX9 sRNA". It matches the Rfam family "Xanthomonas sRNA sX9". The record is from RNAcentral. Lineage: Bacteria; Pseudomonadati; Pseudomonadota; Gammaproteobacteria; Lysobacterales; Lysobacteraceae.